GCGCGCAUUUCCACGCGGGAGGGGCUGUGGGGCUGUAGCUCCGGCGUUCCCGGGUCCUAACCUCGCGAUUGCGGCCCCCUGGGGUGCUGCCGCGCGGGAAGACCAUGGGCGACGCUGUGGGAGAGCGCGCUCGCCUCCGGUGCUACCCCAAGCUCCCAGUGUGGGUCGUGGAGGAUCACCAGGAGGUCCUGCCUUACAUAUACCGGGCCAUUGGCUCAAAGCAUCUUCCUGCCAGUAACAUAAGUUUUGUGCAUUUUGAUUCACAUCCAGACCUCCUUAUUCCUGUAAAUAUGCCAGCUGACACUGUGUUUGACAAGGAAACACUUUUCGGAGAAUUAAGUAUUGAGAAUUGGAUUAUGCCUGCAGUUUAUGCUGGCCAUUUUUCUCAUGUGCUAUGGCUUCAUCCCACAUGGGCUCAGCAAAUAAGAGAGGGCAAACAUCACUUUUUAGUAGGCAGAGACACUUCUACCACAACAAUCAGGGUUACGAGUACAGAUCAUUACUUUCUAAGUGAUGGUCUUUAUGUAACUGAAGACCAACUAGAGAACCAAAAACUUUUACAAUUGGAUGUAAUUAUGGUAAAACCUUAUAAACCCUGUAACAAUCAAGAAGAAAAUGAUGCAGUGUCUUCUGCUAAGAAGCCAAAGCUAGCACUGGAAGAUGCAGAAAACACUGCUUCUACUAACUGUGACUCUUACUCAGAAGGACUGGAAAAGGACACAUUGACACAGAGGAGGGGCCAGAUUUGCCUAGAGCAAUCAUGUUCAUGUUCUUCUGAAAGUCAAGAAUGUCAGACUACAGUCAGCACUGGGGAAAUUCUGGAAAUUUUGAAGAAAGGGGAUGCAUUUGUGUUAGAUAUUGACUUGGAUUUUUUUUCAGUCAAGAAUCCCUUCAAAGAAAUGUUCACUCAGGAAGAGUACAAAAUCUUACAAGAAUUGUACCAGUUUAAAAAACCUGGUACCAACCUGACAGAGGAAGAUUUGGUAGAUUGUGUUGAUACUCGAAUUCAUCAGUUAGAAGAUUUAGAAGCUGCUUUUGCUGAUUUAUGUGAUGGUGAUGAUGAAGAAACUGUACAGAAAUGGGCUUCAAACCCUGGAAUGGAAUCACUAAUUCCACUUGUACAGAGUUUGAAAAAACGGAUGGAAGUACCAGACUAUGAAAUGGUUCACCAGGCUGGUCUAACCUGUGAUUACUCCGAACUUCCUCACCAUAUCAGCACAGAACAAGAAAUUGAAUAUCUUAUUCACUCUGUAUAUUAUUUACUGAAAAAUUUACCAAAACCUACUCUUGUGACAAUUGCAAGAACUGCUCGAGAUACCUGAGGAUCCUUACUGGACUGUGCCUGGUCUUCCUGGUCACAGCAUUCUCGUGCUUGUUUCCAAACUGACUGGUCCUGCACUGUCUCUGUGGUUUCGUAGUUCCAGCUACACUCCUGGGAUCCCAAACAUCCGUGCCAUCCCGUCCCUUUAUUGUCAUUUGGGUUCAACAAAUGAAGUUACGGUGACUGAGGAGGUUUCUAUGAACCUGGAUUCUUAGGAAGGAGUUCCCUAAAUGAGAGAGAUCACAAGUAGGCAGAGAGGCAGGCAGAGAGAGAAAGAGGAAGAAGCAGGCUCCCUGCUGAGCAGAGAGCCCGAUGCGGGACUCGAUUCCGGGACCCCGAGAUCAUGACCCGAGCCGAAGACAAUGGCUUAACUCACUGAGCCACUCAGGAGUUACUUACAGUACUCCUCCAAAGCAUCCUUUGUCUGGGUCUCCGCCUUACCACAAAGCUGCCUGUGCCUGGUGAGCAUUAAGGAAAAUGCGGUCAUCAGAGAAAGAGCGAGUGCCUCUGUCAGCUUGGCCUAGUAAGGUCACAUAGCAGCCCAUCAGACUUGACCCUGAUGGCUCAUGGAGGGAGACCCAUCGUUGUCUCCCUUAAGUCAGGCUUGGAGCUCGGUGCGAAAGCCAGCCGUGCAGACAGAAAGCACCCUGAACACCGCAUGGCACCAUCUACAGCACGGCCCCAUCGAGAGCAGUUCCGGGCAUCAAGAGACACUGUCCUCACAGGGUGACCCAGAGGUCCUGGUGGCUUUGAAAUCAAUCCAAGUUCAAGAGGGAGGCGGCACCUUCCAGUAGAGUCCUGACCCUGCUGUGCUCUUUUCCUCCCUCCUCACCAGAGCAAGAGUGAAAGCAGGGAACUCUCGAAUGCCUUCAGCUAAAAGCGUGUGUACGUUCUGCUUUGUCCUUCAUGCUAUGGUCUGUGAGAACAGUACCUGCGGGAGAGCUCACCACCGUGCAGGGGUGCCUGGCGACGGCAGAGUCUGGAGUGCGGCAUCAGGAAGCCAGUUGUCGCCACAGACUUCAGCCGUGUUCUUUAGUACCUGUUCUAUGAGUACUGAUGAUGGCUUUUUUAUCUUCAUCUGCCUAUUUCUGAGUCAUUUAGAAGCUUACUGGAGAAUGGUUAGGUCUAUUGGGCUUCCGCAAACCCCAACAUGACAAUGCUUGUUUGUUAAAAAAUAUGAAAAGUUUAUAAAUGCAGUAGCUCUUUGGAAUUCCAGCCAAAAAGGACAUUCUCUGACCAUUCUGAAUAAAGCCACAAUAACAUCA
Mustela lutreola (European mink) is the source of this 2586-nucleotide RNA transcript. It is a transcript of the gene named chromosome 5 C5orf22 homolog, with no coding region annotated. The transcript has 12 exons. The record is from RefSeq and is a predicted model, not a curated record. Lineage: Eukaryota; Metazoa; Chordata; Mammalia; Carnivora; Mustelidae.